Molecule: long non-coding RNA, 111 nt
Organism: Sander lucioperca (pikeperch)
Lineage: Eukaryota; Metazoa; Chordata; Actinopteri; Perciformes; Percidae
Exons: 3
Source: RefSeq, a predicted model, not a curated record
UGGUCGGGAUCUUUUUAGCGGCUGUUGCAGUGACGUUAAGCGGAGAAAGGGUGGCUGUCAGUCGGGCACAAAGCUCUGCAAGGUCACGUGAAUUUAGUGACUGUGGUAGCA